GACGAACGCUGGCGGCGUGCUUAACACAUGCAAGUCGAACGGAAAGGCCCUGCUUUUGUGGGGUGCUCGAGUGGCGAACGGGUGAGUAACACGUGAGUAACCUGCCCUUGACUUUGGGAUAACUUCAGGAAACUGGGGCUACUACCGGAUAGGAGCUCCUGUUGCAUGGUGGGGGUUGGAAAGUUUCGGCGGUUGGGGAUGGACUCGCGGCUUAUCAGCUUGUUGGUGGGGUAGUGGCUUACCAAGGCUUUGACGGGUAGCCGGCCUGAGAGGGUGACCGGCCACAUUGGGACUGAGAUACGGCCCAGACUCCUACGGGAGGCAGCAGUGGGGAAUAUUGCACAAUGGGCGGAAGCCUGAUGCAGCAACGCCGCGUGCGGGAUGACGGCCUUCGGGUUGUAAACCGCUUUCGCCUGUGACGAAGCGUGAGUGACGGUAAUGGGUAAAGAAGCACCGGCUAACUACGUG
RNAcentral lists this ribosomal RNA (468 nucleotides) under uncultured bacterium. RNAcentral's name for it is "partial 16S ribosomal RNA". It matches the Rfam family "Bacterial small subunit ribosomal RNA", at positions 28 to 507 of the family's 1533-position model. The record is from RNAcentral.